RNAcentral lists this ribosomal RNA (492 nucleotides) under uncultured bacterium. RNAcentral's name for it is "partial 16S ribosomal RNA". It matches the Rfam family "Bacterial small subunit ribosomal RNA", at positions 29 to 507 of the family's 1533-position model. The record is from RNAcentral.
AGUGAACGCUGGCGGUAGGCCUGACACAUGCAAGUCGAACGGCAGCACAGUAAGAGCUUGCUCUUACGGGUGGCGAGUGGCGGACGGGUGAGGAAUACAUCGGAAUCUACUUUUUCGUGGGGGAUAACGUAGGGAAACUUACGCUAAUACCGCAUACGACCUACGGGUGAAAGCAGGGGAUCUUCGGACCUUGCGCGAUUGAAUGAGCCGAUGUCGGAUUAGCUAGUUGGCGGGGUAAAGGCCCACCAAGGCGACGAUCCGUAGCUGGUCUGAGAGGAUGAUCAGCCACACUGGAACUGAGACACGGUCCAGACUCCUACGGGAGGCAGCAGUGGGGAAUAUUGGACAAUGGGCGCAGGCCUGAUCCAGCCAUACCGCGUGGGUGAAGAAGGCCUUCGGGUUGUAAAGCCCUUUUGUUGGGAAAGAAAAGCAGCAGGUUAAUACCCCGCUGUUCUGACGGUACCCAAAGAAUAAGCACCGGCUAACUUCGUG